Molecule: transfer-messenger RNA, 351 nt
Filed under: Labrys sp. KNU-23
Lineage: Bacteria; Pseudomonadati; Pseudomonadota; Alphaproteobacteria; Hyphomicrobiales; Xanthobacteraceae
Rfam family: Alphaproteobacteria transfer-messenger RNA
About the family: Bacterial tmRNA, also known as 10Sa RNA or SsrA, is named for its dual tRNA and mRNA-like properties.
Source: RNAcentral
CCUCUUUUUUCUGCCGAACAUGCAGCUUAUAUUCCCUUUGCCGGCUCGCGCCGGCUAUGGCGAUAAAUGGUCAUCGAAAUAAACCUUUCGGACCCGGGGGCAGUACCCGGCGCCUCCACCAGAGCCCGUCAGGGCGGGCUGCGGCGGGGGCGAAACAGGAUCGACGAGGGUGUAAAGGGUGUGCUUUCGCUCGGCAUGGUUCCGCCGAUAUCGGGCCUUUUCAAUAGUUGCCAACGACAACUAUGCUCCGGUUGCGGUUGCCGCGUAAGCGGUAACUAGACCGAAAUCAAGUCCUGACGGGUAGCACCGGCAGGCGGGGUUCGGAGGCACCUGGCAACAGAAGCCUCCACU